Molecule: non-coding RNA, 30 nt
Filed under: Homo sapiens (human)
Lineage: Eukaryota; Metazoa; Chordata; Mammalia; Primates; Hominidae
Source: RNAcentral
UGCCUUUGCUGAUCUGACAGGAGGCAGAGC